Molecule: ribosomal RNA, 497 nt
Filed under: uncultured bacterium
Lineage: Bacteria
Description: partial 16S ribosomal RNA
Rfam family: Bacterial small subunit ribosomal RNA
Source: RNAcentral
GACGAACGCUGGCGGCGUGCCUAAUACAUGCAAGUUGAGCGCUGAAGGUUGGUACUUGUACCAACUGGAUGAGCAGCGAACGGGUGAGUAACGCGUGGGGAAUCUGCCUUUGAGCGGGGGACAACAUUUGGAAACGAAUGCUAAUACCGCAUAAAAACUUUAAACACAAGUUUUAAGUUUGAAAGAUGCAAUUGCAUCACUCAAAGAUGAUCCCGCGUUGUAUUAGCUAGUUGGUGAGGUAAAGGCUCACCAAGGCGAUGAUACAUAGCCGACCUGAGAGGGUGAUCGGCCACAUUGGGACUGAGACACGGCCCAAACUCCUACGGGAGGCAGCAGUAGGGAAUCUUCGGCAAUGGACGAAAGUCUGACCGAGCAACGCCGCGUGAGUGAAGAAGGUUUUCGGAUCGUAAAACUCUGUUGGUAGAGAAGAACGUUGGUGAGAGUGGAAAGCUCAUCAAGUGACGGUAACUACUCAGAAAGGGACGGCUAACUACGUG